This 454-nucleotide RNase P RNA is filed under the name Candidatus Atribacteria bacterium. RNAcentral's name for it is "RNase P RNA component class A". It matches the Rfam family "Bacterial RNase P class A". Rfam says of the family: Ribonuclease P (RNase P) is a ubiquitous endoribonuclease, found in archaea, bacteria and eukarya as well as chloroplasts and mitochondria. Its best characterised activity is the generation of mature 5'-ends of tRNAs by cleaving the 5'-leader elements of precursor-tRNAs. Cellular RNase Ps are ribonucleoproteins. Lineage: Bacteria; Pseudomonadati; Atribacterota; Atribacteria. The record is from RNAcentral.
UAAGUAGACCAGGUAAUCGCGGAAGAAGAAUAAUUUCUUUCGAGGAAAGUCCGAGCUCCGUAGGGCAAAGUGCUGGGUAAUCCCCAGUGAGGGUGACCUCAAGGAAAGUGCUACAGAAAAUAUACAGCCUGGUACCCAAUCCCAAAAUUAAUUAGAAAAGAUAGUUUUAAGUUUAAAAAAUGAAUAAAAAAGAUUUUUUAAAAGUAAUUUAAUCUCAGGAUUGAGUGCCGGGUAAAGGUGAAAAGGUAGGGUAAGAGCCUACCAGUUGUUAGGUGACUAACAAGCUUAGUAAACCCCACUUGGAGCAAGACCAAAUAGGAAGAGUUGUGGUGGCCCGCUGAAUCUUCGGGUAGGUCGCAAGAGGUGUAAAGUAAUUUACAUCCCAGAGAGAUGAUUACCGCCCCUAUCAUUAAUAGAUAAGGGAACAGAACUCGGCUUAUGGUCUACUUAUAAG